GACGAACGCUGGCGGCGUGCUUAACACAUGCGAGUCGAACGGAAAGGCCCUGCUUUUGUGGGGUGCUCGAGUGGCGAACGGGUGAGUAACAAGUGAGUAACCUGCUCUCGACUUUGGGAUAACUUCUGGAAACUGGGGCUACUACCGGCUCGGAGCUCCUGCUGCCUGGUGGGGGUUGGAAAGUUUCGGCGGUUGGGGAUGGACUCGCGGCUUAUCAGCUUGUUGGUGGGGUAGUGGCUUACCACGUCUUUGACGGGUAGCCGGCCUUGGAGGGUGACCGGCCACAUUGGGACUGAGAGACGGCCCAGACUCCUACGGGAGGCAGCAGUGGGGAAUAUUACGCAAUGGGCGGAAGCCUAAUGCAGCAACGCCGCGGGCGGGAUGACGGCCUUCGGGUUGUAAACCGCGUACGCCUGAGACGAAGCGUGAUUGACGUUAAUGGGUAAAGAAGCACCGGCUAACUACGUG
Molecule: ribosomal RNA, 468 nt
Filed under: uncultured bacterium
Lineage: Bacteria
Description: partial 16S ribosomal RNA
Rfam family: Bacterial small subunit ribosomal RNA
Source: RNAcentral